This 253-nucleotide ribosomal RNA is filed under the name uncultured bacterium. RNAcentral describes it as "partial 16S ribosomal RNA". It matches the Rfam family "Bacterial small subunit ribosomal RNA", at positions 524 to 776 of the family's 1533-position model. The record is from RNAcentral.
UACGUAGGGUGCAAGCGUUAAUCGGAAUUACUGGGCGUAAAGCGUGCGCAGGCGGUUUGGUAAGACAGAUGUGAAAUCCCCGGGCUUAACCUGGGAAUUGCAUUUGUGACUGCCCGGCUAGAGUGUGUCAGAGGGGGGUAGAAUUCCACGUGUAGCAGUGAAAUGCGUAGAUAUGUGGAGGAAUACCGAUGGCGAAGGCAGCCCCCUGGGAUAACACUGACGCUCAUGCGCGAAAGCGUGGGGAGCAAACAGG